Molecule: non-coding RNA, 327 nt
Organism: Cinara cedri
Lineage: Eukaryota; Metazoa; Arthropoda; Insecta; Hemiptera; Aphididae
Source: the annotation of a GenBank genome assembly
AUACGUACCGAGGAAUGUUUAAUGGUUUUACUAUGUAAUAUGAUGUGAAAAUUUUUAUUUUUUUUUCUCUCUGUAAAAUAUAAUUUUGAAAAUACCAAAAAUCUUUCUCCGAUUAUAGCGUAGUUGUAGCAUUUUUUCUGAGAGCAAAUCGCGUUUAGUAGGCGUGCUGAAGAAGCACAGUGUUUGAUUUUCUCUGUAGUUUUUUUAACAAUUAUAAUGGGACAAAUCGAGUAAAUUGUAAUAAAAAAAAAAAAAAAUUUACACAAUACCGGUUUCUGUUAUUUUUAAUAACACCGGACAUAUAUUUUUCAUACUGGCGGUUUUUUU